UUGGAAUGAAAUGGGCUGUUGCUGGGCACUAUAGCCAUGUGCACGCCCUUUUGUCUAUUUCUUUCUCCCUGUGCACCACUUGUAGACUUUGCCUGUCUACGUAUCACAUAAAAAACCUUAUGAAUGCAUCUUUUGUAAUAUUGUAUAUAUAUAUUAU
This 157-nucleotide unclassified non-coding RNA is filed under the name Amanita chatamagotake. Its description in RNAcentral is "ITS1". The record is from RNAcentral. Lineage: Eukaryota; Fungi; Basidiomycota; Agaricomycetes; Agaricales; Amanitaceae.